UACGGAGGGAGCUAGCGUUGUUCGGAAUUACUGGGCGUAAAGCGCGCGUAGGCGGCUUUGUAAGUUAGAGGUGAAAGCCCAGAGCUCAACUCUGGAAUUGCCUUUAAGACUGCAUCGCUUGAAUCGUGGAGAGGUUAGUGGAAUUCCGAGUGUAGAGGUGAAAUUCGUAGAUAUUCGGAAGAACACCAGUGGCGAAGGCGACUAACUGGACACGUAUUGACGCUGAGGUACGAAAGCGUGGGGAGCAAACAGG
This 253-nucleotide ribosomal RNA is filed under the name uncultured bacterium. RNAcentral's name for it is "partial 16S ribosomal RNA". It matches the Rfam family "Bacterial small subunit ribosomal RNA", at positions 524 to 776 of the family's 1533-position model. The record is from RNAcentral.